GGGCUGUCGUGUGGGGCCGUGUCCAAAGCCUCAGGGCCCUGGGCACAUCAGGGGCUACAAGUCCCCGAGUCUGGGGGCUGCUCCUUUCCACUUCCAGCUUCUCCAUCCAGUUUGGAAAGACUGACACAUUGAAAGACAAAGAAUGGUGGUUACAGACAAAGACUCAAAUUCCAGCCACUUUCCAGCAAAUCAGCAACUCUGUUAUUAUGGGAUGAACAUCAAAUGCUGCCAAGCUUUUCCUGAGAAGGUCUAGAGGAAGGCAAGAGAAGGCUGAUUUGAAAAUCUAUUGCCCUUGAGAAAGGAGAUGAAUAGGUAUGUUACAGGUUUGGACAGAUAGGGAAAGGAUGGAUUUCAGGGGUGGAAAGGAGGUGAG
Passer domesticus (house sparrow) is the source of this 373-nucleotide long non-coding RNA. RefSeq lists it as uncharacterized. NCBI's taxonomy places the organism in Eukaryota, Metazoa, Chordata, Aves, Passeriformes, Passeridae. The record is from RefSeq and is a predicted model, not a curated record. The transcript has 3 exons.